UACGGGGGGGGCAAGCGUUGUUCGGAAUUACUGGGCGUAAAGGGCGCGUAGGCGGCCUUCUAAGUCGGACGUGAAAUCCCUCGGCUUAACCGAGGAACUGCGUCCGAUACUGAAAGGCUUGAAUCCGGGAGAGGGAUGUGGAAUUCCAGGUGUAGCGGUGAAAUGCGUAGAUAUCUGGAGGAACACCGGUGGCGAAGGCGGCAUCCUGGACCGGCAUUGACGCUGAGGCGCGAAAGCGUGGGGAGCAAACAGG
This 253-nucleotide ribosomal RNA is filed under the name uncultured bacterium. Its description in RNAcentral is "partial 16S ribosomal RNA". It matches the Rfam family "Bacterial small subunit ribosomal RNA", at positions 524 to 776 of the family's 1533-position model. The record is from RNAcentral.